GACUUUGAUUGUCUUUGUCGAUCGACCUUCGUUACUUAUUUGUUUCUCGAUUGUUCAUUCUUUGUUCACUUCUCUGUUUGUAUCGCUGAUAUUUCAGUCGCUGUAGCCCUUCUCCGUCCCUCUCCGGUGCUGCUGUCUCUGUGAGUCCCGGGUGAUUUCUGCUUGGCCCGUGACUCUGUCUUCCUCCCUUCUGCUUCGGGAGAGGGCCUGAGCCUCCCUGAGAUUUCCUCCCACCCGGCCUGACGGAUGGAGAAUGGACACCUCAGACUCUCCCAUCCCUGGCCAUUGGCGUGGCCCAGGAGCUGCCUUCCCUGGCUGUGCUCGAGGCUCACUGGAGGGAACUUCGUUUUCAUUGUGGGAAAUUUUUUUUUUUUUUUUGAGACGGAGUCUCACGCUGUUGCCCAGGCUGGAGUGCAGUGGCUGAUCUCGCCACUGCAAGCUCCGGCCCUGGGUUCAUCAUUCUCCUGCCUCAGCCUCCUGAGUAGCUGGGACUACAGGCUCGCCACCGCUAAUUUUUUGUAUUUUUAGUGAGACGGGGUUUCACUGUGGUCUCGAUCUCCUGACCUUGUGAUCCGCCCACCUCGGCCUCCCAAAGUGCUGGGAUUACAGGCUUGAGCCACUGCCCCAUUGUGGGAAAUUUUUAAAAAGUCUCUUACAGAUUUCAGUGAGUUCAAAGCCGCCCGUGCGCAGACGUAGGUCCGUUCUUCACCUAGCUUCACUCUAGCCUGCCGAAAGGAAAUGGUAAUAGAGCUGGAAAAGGUGUCCUGGGGUUGAUUAGAGGAUUUUCCGUUUCAUCUUGGAAAGGGAUAUUGACGGGAGGCCAGAACUUCUAGAUCCUCUUCAAUUUCAAGAAAUACUUUAAAGCCUGGACAAUAUCGGGAGGCCUUAUCUCUACAAAAUAAAAAUGGAAAAAUCAGCUGGGUGCGAUGGCACACUCCUGUGGUCCCACCUUCUCUGGAGGAUGAGGUGGGAAGAUCACGAGCUUGGGAGGCUGAGGCUGCAGUUAGCUGUGAUCGUGCCAGUGUACUGCAGCCUGGGUGACAGAGCAAGACGCUGAAAAAAGAAAAAGAAGGGAAGGAGGGGAGGGAGGGAGGGAGGAAGGAAGGAAGGAAGUAAACAAAUGGCUCAGGCUCAGAGAGCUGUGUGUGGCCCCCAGCUCCCACCCCCACCAAAGGGCCUGCAAACCCACAGGGGGGCAGGUUGUCUUUAGCUGGAACCACAGGGACGGGGGGCCCUGAACUGUAGGGGUUGGGGUUAGGGUUAGGCUUUGAGGUUUGGGGUUAUAGAAUAUAGAUGGGUUUGGUCCUGGGAAAAUUCCAGGUCUGGGUUUUGUGGUCGGGGGUUGGUCUCCGGUGAGAUGCGACAUGUUUACAGGGUUUGUGAGGUAUGUACAGAUGUGUACGGUGCUGUUGUUGGAAUGUGUUCUCCAGAUUUCAUGUGUUGGCAAUUUUGUGUUCUUUUUUUUUUGAGAUGGUGUCUCGCCCUGGCAUCUGUCACCCAGGCUGGAGUGCAAUAGUGUGAUCUCAGCUCACUGCAGCCUCUGCCUCCCAGGUUCAAGCCAUUCUCAUACCUCAGCCUCCCAGUGGCUGGCAUUGUAGCAGGACAAGCCAGAGACAAAAUUCCUCAGACACCAGGUUAAAGAAGGAAGGGCUGUAUUCGGCCAGGAGCACUGACAGACUUGCAUCUUAAGAGCUGAGCUCCCCAAAAAGGAAAUUCCUGGUGCUUUUAAGGGCUUACGACUCUAAGGGGUUCACGUGAAAGCAUUGCGAUAGCUUAAGCAAGUGCGGGGAACGUGACGGGGGGCUGCAUGCAUCAGAUAACAGACCAGAGAGUUUUACGGUGCUUCCUCAUAUGAUGUCUGGAAUUUACAGAUAACACAAGUAGGUUAGGUCAGGGGUUAAUAUGAUUAUUAUUAUUAUUUUCAACCACCAGGGCUGGGUGGUGGCCUCAUGUUCGUUUAGCUAUUUAUCUUACUUCUGUAUUUUUUUUUAAACGUUUUGCUUUCUCCCUUUUUCCUUGUUUUAUAAACUAGGAAAGUGGGGGUGGGGAAGGGCAGGGCAGCAGGAGAACUGGUGGUCUCCUUCCUGAGGAUUACAGGCACCAGCCUCAUUCCUGGCUAUUUAUUUAUUUUUGUAUUUUUAGUGGAGAUGGGGUUUCACCAUGUUGGCCAGGCUGGUCUUGAACUCCUGGCCUCAGGUGAUCACCCUCCUCGGUCUCUCAAAGUGCUGGGAUUAAAGGG
Molecule: long non-coding RNA, 2239 nt
Filed under: Macaca fascicularis (crab-eating macaque)
Lineage: Eukaryota; Metazoa; Chordata; Mammalia; Primates; Cercopithecidae
Description: lncRNA (ENSMFAG00000063537.1)
Source: RNAcentral